ACUCCUACGGGAGGCAGCAGUGGGGAAUUUUGGACAAUGGGCGAAAGCCUGAUCCAGCAAUGCCGCGUGAGUGAAGAAGGCCUUCGGGUUGUAAAGCUCUUUUGUCAGGGAAGAAACGGUGAGAGCUAAUAUCUUUUGCUAAUGACGGUACCUGAAGAAUAAGCACCGGCUAACUACGUGCCAGCAGCCGCGGUAAUACGUAGGGUGCAAGCGUUAAUCGGAAUUACUGGGCGUAAAGCGUGCGCAGGCGGUUUUGUAAGUCUGAUGUGAAAUCCCCGGGCUCAACCUGGGAAUUGCAUUGGAGACUGCAAGGCUAGAAUCUGGCAGAGGGGGGUAGAAUUCCACGUGUAGCAGUGAAAUGCGUAGAUAUGUGGAGGAACACCGAUGGCGAAGGCAGCCCCCUGGGUCAAGAUUGACGCUCAUGCACGAAAGCGUGGGGAGCAAACAGGAUUAGAUACCCCUGUAGUCC
Molecule: ribosomal RNA, 469 nt
Filed under: uncultured organism
Description: partial 16S ribosomal RNA
Rfam family: Bacterial small subunit ribosomal RNA
Source: RNAcentral